This 497-nucleotide ribosomal RNA is filed under the name uncultured bacterium. RNAcentral describes it as "partial 16S ribosomal RNA". It matches the Rfam family "Bacterial small subunit ribosomal RNA", at positions 28 to 507 of the family's 1533-position model. The record is from RNAcentral.
GAUGAACGCUGGCGGCGUGCCUAAUACAUGCAAGUCGAGCGAACAGACGAGGAGCUUGCUCCUCUGACGUUAGCGGCGGACGGGUGAGUAACACGUGGAUAACCUACCUAUAAGACUGGGAUAACUUCGGGAAACCGGAGCUAAUACCGGAUAAUAUAUUGAACCGCAUGGUUCAAUAGUGAAAGACGGUUUUGCUGUCACUUAUAGAUGGAUCCGCGCCGCAUUAGCUAGUUGGUAAGGUAACGGCUUACCAAGGCAACGAUUCGUAGCCGACCUGAGAGGGGGAUCAGACACACUGGAACUAAGACACGGUCCAGACUCCUACGGGAGGCAGCGGUAGGGAAUCUUCCGCAAUGGGCGAAAGCCUGACGGAGCAACGCCGCGUGAGUGAUGAAGGUCUUCGGAUCGUAAAACUCUGUUAUUAGGGAAGAACAAAUGUGUAAGUAACUAUGCACGUCUUGACGGUACCUAAUCAGAAAGCCACGGCUAACUACGUG